This 426-nucleotide ribosomal RNA is filed under the name uncultured Clostridium sp. RNAcentral's name for it is "bacterial SSU rRNA". It matches the Rfam family "Bacterial small subunit ribosomal RNA", at positions 355 to 794 of the family's 1533-position model. Lineage: Bacteria; Bacillati; Bacillota; Clostridia; Eubacteriales; Clostridiaceae. The record is from RNAcentral.
UGGGGAAUAUUGGGGCAAUGGGGGGCGCAAGCCUGACCCAGCAACGCCGCGUGAAGGAAGAAGGCUUUCGGGUUGUAAACUUCUUUUAUCAGGGACGAUAAUGACGGUACCUGAUGAAUAAGCUCCGGCUAACUACGUGCCAGCAGCCGCGGUAAUACGUAGGGAGCAAGCGUUAUCCGGAUUUACUGGGUGUAAAGGGCGUGCAGCCGGGAAUGCAAGUCAGAUGUGAAAUCCAUGGGCUUAACCCAUGAACUGCAUUUGAAACUGUAUUUCUUGAGUACUGGAGAGGCAAUCGGAAUUCCUAGUGUAGCGGUGAAAUGCGUAGAUAUUAGGAGGAACACCAGUGGCGAAGGCGGAUUGCUGGACAGCAACUGACGGUGAGGCGCGAAAGUGUGGGGAGCAAACAGGAUUAGAUACCCUGGUAGU